CCUAGUCCCCCUUUGAUCACCAACAGGCUCUUAAGUUUCUUUUCUGAAAACUUGUGUUCAUACUGUGUUUCCUCCUUGGGUUGAUAAGAGCCUGAAAAGACAUCAUAGGUGUGAGGUAUGUUGGCUAGUUCCGAUGCCAUCCCACACCUGGGUUGUAUUGCUAUUGCUUUUGUCUAUGGACUAAGGUUUCAGGAUGAAGGGGAAUAUGGGGCAAAUGAGUGAAGGGAAGACAUGGAUUGGGAUGUCAAGACUCCCCAAGAUGUUUUCAGGGAAAGCUGUACCUUGGAAAACAGCACAGGGGUUCAGAGAAGACAGAGCUGCCGUAAAGGAGGUCAGAAAUGUCUGAAAGUAAGGAGGGAUGCAUAAACCAUGGAGACCCAUUCACAUGACUUGGCCUCGGGUGUAAAAAUAGGACCCUGAGGUCGCCAGACUCUAAAAUGAUCACUUAGUUCCAGCUAAUAUUCUUUGUUGGGAAAAAUGUGGGCAGUUCUGUGGUAUGAAGCAGCACUUCCUGACAGAGAAGUCUGUCGAUCCGUUUAAGCUGCUAGGAACCACGUCCCUCAAGAGGUCUCACAUGCCACAGCCAAGUUGGCCAAGGCCCACGGAAACAUUACAUGCUGCUGAGAACCAUGUGUGUUGGCAGAGGCAGCUCUCUUGCUCUGCGCACAGACCAGCUCAACCUCAGCCCACCAGGGACGACCGCUGGGGCCCCUCCCUGCUCCUGGAGCUCCCACUGGAAGCACCUAUAGACAAAGGCACCUUCCCAGGGCCCACAAGUUGCACAGCAUGCUGGGAAGGAAUACGGGCAUCAGAAAACCCAGAGAGAGCCUGCUUCGAGCCUUGAUGUCACCAAGUCAGCACUGUGACCUGGGGCUGUUUCCUUAACUGACUUUUUCAUCUAUAAAAUGGAGCUAGAGCAGCCUUCCUCGCAAGGUCAGUAUGAGGAUUUCAGACAAUGUCCGUCAAGUAUCUGGCACACAGUAAAUGUUCAAUAAAUGAGAACUAUUGUUAUUGCUAUUUGACAUGGUGCAAAGCAGACGUGGAUUUGGAGCCCAGUUUUGCCGUUUACCAGCUGUCUGAGAUCAGGCAGGUUACUAAGCCUCUCUGAGCCUCAUUAUUUUCCUUAUUUGUAAACUGGGGAACACGUUACUUAACCUUCAGUGGUGGUGUGCGAAUCAGAGUUAAUUUAAGAAAGGUGUCUAAUUGAGCACCUGGCACAUGGUAGUACUCAAUGAAAGUUAUCUGUUAGGGUUUUUUGUAGAUCAAAGCAGGAAUGAAAAUUCUUGAUGUUGGUUUCUACAGAGCAAGUAUGUGUAAGCAUAACAAGCCACUUUGAAUUGUUCUGUGGGAAAUUGUGUUCUUAAACAGGCUGCCUUAUUUCCCCAGUCAGCACUGGUUCUGAACCUGUGGGCAGCAGAGGCAGAGGCUGGGGACUGGCCCCUCCCGUCCCACCCUCCCCUAUGAUCCUCUUUCUCUGUCCAUUUUCCAGAAGACAUUUUCUCCUCCAGCCUCAGUCCCCCGAGGAAAGCUGGAGCAAUAGGUCACCGUUAUUUAAACUGCCACAGGAUUUUCAGACCAUGAGACUCCUGUCUCUCCUCCGUCUGGGCUGGCCCGUCCCCAAGAAGGAAGGCAGCCAGGAGGUGGAGGAGGUUAUUAAACCAUUUUAUAUCCGUCCUGUUUUUAAUUGAUUUCACAGCAGGGGAAGAAAAAUCAGAAUCCUUCCUACGUACCCUUUCCACGCGGGAGUCCUCCUCUGGUCAGGAAGCCCGUCUGGGAAGCGCUGGAGUGGGUCUGCGUGUUCUCAGUUGCCCUCCCCAUGGUCUGCCAGCUCCGGCAGCACCAGGCCCCUCCUGGCAGUGCUCUUGCCUCUGUGGGGCCCCUGGGCAUCCCCUUUACAUACUGGCUUGGAAAGAGGGUAGCCCUCCUCUGCUCCCCAUCUCCUGGUCUCCAAUGGUCCCAACUCUCCCUCUUAGGUGUAGCCCACGUGUCUGUGGGGGCCUCCCAGUUCCUAGAAUCUAGAUGCCCUCGGCUCACCCCACAGCCCAUGCCUGGUGGGAGCCCAAAGGCCUCCUGGGAUUUUUUUGGGUUCCUGGGUGGGGGCAGCGGUGGCUAACAUCAUAGAAUUACCUUUGGUCUCCCAAGUUUUCUGCAUCUUGUGGCAAAAACAUGGCCCCCAAAAUGGUGUGUGUUCUUUGUGAGGACUUGGUGGUUGUAAAGAGUGGCCACAUAACACGACAGAGAAAACAGUGAAAACGCACGUUUGAGACUUCCAUUCUGAGAAGGCAGUUCAGCUGUCCAGCCAGGGAUGCCAGUCUUGCGAAGGUCACAGACUGCUCACAAACGGCCUGGUUAGUGUGAGUGCCUCCUGACAGCAGCACUGUGUCUAGUCAGUUCUGUAAGAGGAGACACUGGCCACAGCUUGGUUUCUUUGGAUCCCUCACAGCGCGUAACUGAAGGAAUGCAGGAGAGACAAAGGCAAAACUAGACAAUUAUGAAAGAAAAGGGAGUGGCUAAAACAAAAUGCCCUUUGGAACCUGGAUCAAGCACAGGGUAUGAGCUCCUGCUGCUCCCAGGACCAGCUGGAAUGACAAAAGUGAGAAGCAGCUGUCAUUGGGCCGUUAGCCGUCGCUCUUCUGUCGCAAUGAGAACAGUUGGGUCUUUUCCAGGGCAUGCGUUCUGGAUGAACAUCCUGAUACAGGAACAUGGACGCUAUGGACAACUGUGGACUAGACGUCUGAGACUAAGACUUCAACAACUGUUUGUUUUUAAUUCAGAAAAGAGUAAACAGAAAAUAUCUUACGAAGUAAAUGGUCUUGUCCAAACCUUUCCUCUAAAUAAGGACAAAGAGGGGAUGGCCCGGUGGCCUAGUGGUUAAGUUCGUGUGCUCUGCUUUGGCAGCCUGUGGUUCAUGGGUUUGGAUCCCGGGCACAGACCUACACGCCACUCAUCAAGCCACGCUGUGGCAGUGUCCCACGUAUAAAAUAGAGGAAGAUUGGCACAGACAUUAGCUCAGGGCCAAUCUUCCUCACAAAAAAAUAAAAAUAAAUAAAUAAAUAAAUAGGGACAAAGAUAGCAAGCAAGAGAAGGCCAAAGUGAGGAGGAGGUGGUACAGAAGGAAAGUGGGGAGGCCCCAAGGACAAAAGUGUUCCUCAUUUAAAAAGGCAUCUUCCCUACAUCAUACGGUGGAACUACUCCUCCCCUUUGAAAAUGGAUCUCAAAGGAAGAACGCCUCCUUCCCACAGCUGAUCUCCCCAAUAGGGGCCGGGAAGGGUGCUCGUCCCCCUCCCCCGCUUAAUGUGACUAGAAUGUUCCGCUCUGCUGGCGCUCUCUCGGCAAGCGGCUUACCACAGGAAGCUCCAACCCAGACGACCUAGGCCUGCAGGCCCUGCCAUGGGUCCUCUCCGGCAGCCGCAGCUCCAGGCACACAAGGCAAAUGGCUGCAUCCUUUCUGCCCCAGGCCUCCGAGAAAUUCAUCUCCCAGGAACCAAGAAUCCGCUCCCUGCUGCAGCUCAACAUGGAAGAAUCAGCAGGACUCCUUCUCCACCGUGGGCCCCGCCGCUCAUCAUGUCUCAGUCCUGGGGUGCUGCCUUCCCAGUGAAACCCUGAUGUCUGCUUCAGUAGCCCCAAGUAAAGUCUCAUGUCUUUUAAUGUUCAAACCCGCAUCUGCCUGGGAUUAGCAGAACAGCCAGUCUGCUACGCAGGGUCUCCCUCCUCCAUUUCUGGGAGUUGCAGAAAGAUGUAGUCAGGGUGAGUGCUCGUCACUCCAUCUGCUACUCGUGGUUCCACCGCUGUAGUCAGAGCCUCCUGGGUGACCGCACACUCUCUCCUUUGUAACUCUUUUCUCCAGCAUGUGCUUUGUUUUUUUUUGAGAUCAAGUACACUUUAGUAAGUUCUUUCUUGCAGGAUGGAGGAAAGAUCAAGGAAAGAUGCCUCUGGGUGUUCACAAAUAGAGGCAAAGCUGAAUAAAUAGUUGACCAAAGCAUAACUGCUGGAUAAUCCAAAUGUAUCUUAUUACAUUUAACACGCAUUUAAAAUCCAAGUUGUAAUUACAGCUGAACGAUUGCUGUUGCUUUUCAAUGUAAAAUGAGUUUAUUUUACAUUUAGUUGUACGUUACGUUUUGUUGGUUACAUUGUUCGUACAAUAAGUUACUAUUAUUAUUAGCAACUUAUAUCAACUAUAAAAAU
Equus caballus (horse) is the source of this 4185-nucleotide long non-coding RNA. Lineage: Eukaryota; Metazoa; Chordata; Mammalia; Perissodactyla; Equidae. The record is from Ensembl.